RNAcentral lists this ribosomal RNA (336 nucleotides) under Triticum aestivum (bread wheat). RNAcentral's name for it is "partial small subunit ribosomal RNA". The record is from RNAcentral. Lineage: Eukaryota; Viridiplantae; Streptophyta; Magnoliopsida; Poales; Poaceae.
AUGUCCAAGAGCCGCAACAUAAGCCGCCUGCUUGCCGAGCAGGACGAGCAGCGUCUAGAGGGCCAGCGGCGGCGUCGGCAUGGGAGUUCUGAAGGCAAUGUCGAAGAGCAUGCUGCGGCAGAAACAGAGAUUGAGGAAGCAGAGGAGGAGGACGUGGACGAGGAGCAGCAGCAUGUUAGGAUGCAUGACGGCAAGUCGUACCGCAUCACCUUCCCGGACUUUCCCGGCGGGCCAGGCACCUUCGAGGCGGCGCCAAGUUCUGCUACGGCGUCCGCGUCGAGCUCACACCCUGGAACGUCGCCCUGCUGCGGUGCGCGGCCGAGUACCUGGAGAUGA